AUUGAAAUUGAGAAUUAGCUGUCGACAAUAGAACUGUAAUGUGUGUUGGUGUUAAUCUGUCUGCUCAGGAGUGAUAGAAGCGCACCACACGAGCUGUAACAUCAGUGAAGGUCAACCCGCUGCAUCGGAUCUGACACUUCUUUCUUGUUCUUCCUGCACCCAACCGUUCUGUCGUUCAGUGUCUCUGUAGCCAGCGGAAGGCAUUCACGUUGACCAGAGGGACGGCUCCGAACAGCUUGUUGUCAUCACAGAGAGGUUCACCAACAGCGUGCAGGGCAUGGAUUAGGGGAUGAGAGAAUGCCACUGACUGUGAAAUUGCCUGAUUUUAUCGGGAAUGUCGGAGAGCAGCUGUGCACAAUCCUCAGCCAUAAUCUCGGGACAAGAGAGGACCGUGCACGUAGGUGCUUUUGAACAACAGGGAAUCUUUGAUGGCGUGUCUUUGAUGUUCUACUACCCACAUGCAGAAGCAUGUUUGGUGUGGGCAACGCUCACGACUGAAGCUGUGCGACCGGGGACUGGUUCCUCAUGCCGCUUCUCAGAUAUUUGCAUAGCUGAUGAACGGUGGCCUGAAACCCACUCAGCAGGUUAUAGGCAAACAUAUGCCUGAAAUGCCACAGGGUCAUGAAGCCAGAUCAUCUCCAAAGGCUACUGGCAGUUCUACGUAGGCACAGUAUUAAUACAUAUUCACAAAGAGCAUGAACAGA
This is a long non-coding RNA of Thalassophryne amazonica, 704 nucleotides long. RefSeq lists it as uncharacterized. NCBI's taxonomy places the organism in Eukaryota, Metazoa, Chordata, Actinopteri, Batrachoidiformes, Batrachoididae. The transcript has 2 exons. The record is from RefSeq and is a predicted model, not a curated record.